UCUGCCCUUAGACUAUAGGUAUCACGUAUACAUCAAUAGGUGGCAGAAAGGAGAGAGGCUAGGUCUACACUCAGUGUUCAGACCUAUGAACACCUGAAUAACUAGAUUAAUUUUUAAAA
This 119-nucleotide small nucleolar RNA is filed under the name Mus pahari (shrew mouse). Its description in RNAcentral is "predicted gene, 25059 (MGP_PahariEiJ_G0034063.1)". It matches the Rfam family "Small nucleolar RNA SNORA17". From Rfam's summary of the family: snoRNA ACA 17 belongs to the H/ACA family of snoRNAs and is predicted to guide pseudouridylation of the 28S rRNA at positions U4659 and U4598. It shares the same host gene together with ACA43. Lineage: Eukaryota; Metazoa; Chordata; Mammalia; Rodentia; Muridae. The record is from RNAcentral.